RNAcentral lists this transfer RNA (75 nucleotides) under Deltaproteobacteria bacterium. RNAcentral describes it as "tRNA-Val". It matches the Rfam family "tRNA". From Rfam's summary of the family: Transfer RNA (tRNA) molecules are approximately 80 nucleotides in length. Their secondary structure includes four short double-helical elements and three loops (D, anti-codon, and T loops). The record is from RNAcentral. RNAcentral also lists the same sequence under 1 other name. Lineage: Bacteria; Pseudomonadati; Myxococcota; Myxococcia.
GGGCGGUUAGCUCAGAGGGAGAGCGCUACCUUCACACGGUAGAAGUCACUGGUUCGAUCCCAGUACCGCCCACCA